Non-coding RNA from Danio rerio (zebrafish), 523 nucleotides. The record is from Ensembl. Lineage: Eukaryota; Metazoa; Chordata; Actinopteri; Cypriniformes; Danionidae.
UUCAAGCCUGCAGCUCUUGUCUGGUUUGUUUUAUAAUACAGUUGGGAGUAAAGCAAUUUUUAACCAUUUUAAGAGGGUGAUUUGUAGCUUGGAAAUCAGCAAAAACUGCACACAACUGAAUUAAACUGUGUUUCUGACAAGAAGCAAGAACACAGGCAAUGGCUCACCAUCAGAUACAUCACCACAGUCAACACCAUCAUCAUCCUCACCAUCAGCGGCGGCACUCGUCUCAUCGCCACCACCAUCAUCACCACGACACACACCAUCAGGAGGACCACGAGGAGAAGAGCAUUUCAGAUGUCAUCAGUGGUCAUCAUCAUAUUCAGGAACAUUAUAACCAUCGUCACUCCAAAGCAGACAGCCAUCAUCAUCAUCACCACCAUCAACAGCAUCCACAACGUCAGGACAAACGACACACACCGAGAAAAAAAUCUCACUCCAAAGCUUCAGUGACUUCUUCAAACUCUUCUGGGUCUUCCUCUAGUUCCUUGUCAAAGACUUCAAGCUCGUCCAGUUCUGAUUC